Molecule: long non-coding RNA, 1047 nt
Filed under: Solanum tuberosum (potato)
Lineage: Eukaryota; Viridiplantae; Streptophyta; Magnoliopsida; Solanales; Solanaceae
Description: long non-coding RNA (STUB_LNC001520)
Source: RNAcentral
UUUGAACUAUGAGUAAGAACGAAAUGUUUUCAAAAUAAUUGUCUCCUCUCACAUGUACGAAAUGCAGUUACUGAACAUAGGUGGUCUAUAAGGUAAUAUUCUAACAAGUUACAAGUAUAAGUGUGAAGUAGCUUUAUAUUUUGGGUUGUUAUGAUAAGUUUGAUAUCUCUUUCUUUGGCUUAUCUCACAUGCGCUUAUUUGGUAUCUGUGGAUUAGUAUUUUGGAUUUUGACAAAGCUUGAGUUCAGGGAAAACAAGGAGAUACUUUUUCUCAAAAUAUGGACUACUGAAAGUUUAACUCUAGAAGAAGCAUCCCGAAAUUUUGAAGAAGCACUUGAUUCCAUGUGUGUAGUGAUAGAGCUGGUGCAAAAAAUUGAUAUCAGGGUACAUAUAGUUCUCUCUCUGUGCAGAUACUUUGUAGCUCCAGAACUGGAGAAUCUGCUUUCUGAAUUUUAUAUAUAUUUUUAGUUGUUGAAGGUGCUGUGAAAUUGUGGCCUUGUGGAGUUCGAGAAUGCAACUUCUUCAUGGUAUGAGAUGUGCUGACUUGUACGACAUAAUUGAUUCACGUACACAAUUAUCCCUUGGGAAAAAUCUCAUAAAAAGACUAUGACCAGUUGGAGCCAUGACUAAGAAUUUCAGUUUUGACGUGUAAUUUUCUCCUUCACUUCUUUCCUAGAAGGGCAUAGCCAAGUCUAGUUGUACAACAAAAUUUCCCAGUCUACUUGUACGACAACAACAUCAUACCCAGCGCAAUUCCAUAAGCGAUCGGAUAAGUGCGGUGUGGGAGGGUAGGAUGUAAGCAGACCUUAACUCUUUAACUUUGAGGGGGCAGAAAGACUUUUCUGAUAGACUUGGAGGUUACUCCCCAGUCUGUUCAUCCCCCUUUUCAUUUUAUUUUUGUAUAAUCAAUCUUAUUUCCAAGUUCUUCCUCGGCUCUGUUCUUUGUGUUUAAGUUGAAUAUGUUUUAUUGAAGUUUUUAUUGUUAGUUCUAUAUGAUCUCGUAUGGUUUCAGCACCAAUAGUAGUUCUUCUUGCGGUUUCUUUUGUUG